RNAcentral lists this ribosomal RNA (885 nucleotides) under Russula adusta. RNAcentral describes it as "eukaryotic LSU rRNA". It matches the Rfam family "Eukaryotic large subunit ribosomal RNA", at positions 82 to 943 of the family's 3401-position model. Lineage: Eukaryota; Fungi; Basidiomycota; Agaricomycetes; Russulales; Russulaceae. The record is from RNAcentral.
AGUAACGGCGAGUGAAGCGGGAAAAGCUCAAAUUUAAAAUCUGGUGGCCUCUGGUCAUCCGAGUUGUAAUUUAGAGAAGCGUCUUCCGCGCUGGACCAUGCACAAGUCUCCUGGAAUGGAGCGUCAUAGAGGGUGAGAAUCCCGUCUUUGGCAUGGAUGCACCAGGGCUUCUGUGAUGCGCUCUCAAAGAGUCGAGUUGUUUGGGAAUGCAGCUCAAAAUGGGUGGUGAACUCCAUCUAAAGCUAAAUAUUGGCGAGAGACCGAUAGCGAACAAGUACCGUGAGGGAAAGAUGAAAAGCACUUUGGAAAGANAGUGAAACAGUACGUGAAAUUGUUGAAAGGGAAACGCUUGAAGUCAGUCGCGUCGACCGAGACUCAGCCUCGCCUUGGCUUGGUGUACUUCUCGGCUGACGGGUCAGUGUCAAUUUUGGGCCUCGGAUAAUGACAAGGGAAAGGUGGCACCUUUAUAGGUGUGUUAUAGUCUCCUGUCGGAUGCGAGGGUCGGGAUUGAGGAACUCAGCACGCGCCUUUUGGUGUCGGGGCUUCGGCCUACGCUACGUGCUUAGGAUGCUGGCAUAAUGGCUUUAAACGACCCGUCUUGAAACACGGACCAAGGAGUCUAACAUGCCCGCGAGUGUUCGGGUGGAAAACCCGUGCGCGUAAUGAAAGUAAAAGUUGGGACCUCUGUCGUGGAGAGCACCGACGCCCGGACCAGACCUUCUGUGACGGAUCUGCGGUAGAGCGUGCAUGUUGGGACCCGAAAGAUGGUGAACUAUGCCUGAAUAGGGUGAAGCCAGAGGAAACUCUGGUGGAGGCUCGUAGCGAUUCUGACGUGCAAAUCGAUCGUCAAAUUUGGGUAUAGGGGCGAAAGACUAAUCGAACCAU